GGCCCAAAUUUCCAGUAGAGUAGAUUAGUAGUAUCAGCUGACUCCACUCAACUAUUCUAUUUCAAGUUUGGGCCC
This is a non-coding RNA of Haemonchus contortus (barber pole worm), 75 nucleotides long. The record is from Rfam. Lineage: Eukaryota; Metazoa; Nematoda; Chromadorea; Rhabditida; Trichostrongylidae.